UGGGGAAUUUUGCACAAUGGGGGAACCCUGAUGCAGCGACGCCGCGUGAUUUAGAAGGCCUUCGGGUUGUAAAAAUCUUUUUUACGGGAUGAAAAUGACAGUACCGUAAGAAUAAGGUCCGGCUAAAUACGUGCCAGCAGCCGCGGUAAUACGUAUGGACCGAGCGUUGUCCGGAAUCAUUGGGCGUAAAGGGUACGUAGGCGGCCUAGUAAGUUAGAAGUGAAAUAAUAUAGCUCAACUAUAUAAAGCUUUUAAAACUGCUAGGCUUGAGAGAUGGAAGGGAAAGUGGAAUUCCUAGUGUAGCGGUGAAAUGCGCAGAUAUUAGGAAGAAUACCGGUGGCGAAGGCGACUUUCUGGUCAUCAUCUGACGCUGAGGUACGAAAGCGUGGGUAGCAAACAGG
RNAcentral lists this ribosomal RNA (401 nucleotides) under bacterium. Its description in RNAcentral is "partial 16S ribosomal RNA". It matches the Rfam family "Bacterial small subunit ribosomal RNA", at positions 355 to 776 of the family's 1533-position model. The record is from RNAcentral.